Molecule: long non-coding RNA, 2259 nt
Organism: Diabrotica virgifera virgifera (western corn rootworm)
Lineage: Eukaryota; Metazoa; Arthropoda; Insecta; Coleoptera; Chrysomelidae
Exons: 3
Source: RefSeq, a predicted model, not a curated record
AUUGGGAGCCACGCUUCACGCAACCGUGUUUGCGUACUUGUGUUUCGAGUUGCGUGGUCGUGGGGAGUUAUAUUUACCAAAUUUAAAUCCGUUCCAACGUUCCAACCUGCUGUCAAAAUUAAAUCAAUAUUGUCAAUAUGGCUACUGGGUGUAAAAGAUAAAUCUUAUUCUAUCUGUUCUUAUUCUUAAUGAGUUUUAGAUCAUUUUAGUUGUAUUUCUUUGUAAUUUUGUGUUGUACAAAGAUUAAUUUAACAUUUUCUCUGGAAGUAUUAAUCUAGAAAGAUAAUAUGCUUCAUUGGUGUUGUGUUUUGAAGUGUGAAAUGCAAAGUAAUUGUGAUAAAGUUCACUUUUAAACUGAACUAAAUAAGGUAUCUGAGAGACAACAAUGGUUAAAUGCAAUACAAUGUACAGGUUUUACUAGCGAAAUGAAAAUUUUCCUGUCCUGUCUGCUGUAAUCAUUUUAUAUCUGGAAAACCAGCCGACUUAAUCGAUAAUAACAAUCUCCAGAUUGGGUUCCUUCAAUAAAUAUGGGCUAUAAACACAAUGAAAUAAGUUCCCCGACUAAUAAGCCGACUUAAUCGAUAAUAACAAUCUCCAGAUUGGGUUCCUUCAAUAAAUAUGGGCUAUAAACACAAUGAAAUAAGUUCCCCAAAAUCUAAAAUGGAGUGGUAUCAAAGGAGAAUUAAAGGAAAAAAUGAAUGUGUGUGUACUAUGUACGCACGUAAGAAGAUAUUCUUCUAUUAUAUAAUAGGUAAUUUAAACGAAGUAAAUAUACUUAAAAGGUUAUUUGUAUUUUAUUUAAAAAUCAAACUAACUUUCUUAUCUACCACUUUCAAAAAAUUUUUAUUAAAACAACCAAAAAUAAAAAAAAAUAUGAAUCACCCGGGAAUUGAACCCGCAACCUUCCAAUCUCAGUGCUAACGCAUUUCUAAUUACUCCAUCGAGGCACUAGAAAUAAAUAUGUAAGUUUCGGAUAUAAUUACACAACACGGCGACAUAUAGUGUAAAAAUGUUAUGCUUACAUAAUAUUUUAUUAAUCCAAAAGCACAAGAAUUAUAAUAAAUAAUACAUUUCCUAAAACCACUAAUAUAUUCUUUUAAUGACUUAUUUGCACGGUUACAGAUACAUACAUACCUAUCUUGAAAGAUUAGUAAUGAACUACAAUACUGUCAGAACUACAUACUGUCAGUGUGCGCAGGCGCGCGGUAAAUGUACAAUUUUACCCUCAAUCGAUUCGUCGCUAAAGAAGAAUAUCUUCAAAAAUAUUCAUAUUGAAAUUAUUUAUAAGGCACUGGACUGUCUUAAAUUCUACAAUAAUACUAGAAUCAGCUGAGAGAAGUGGUCUACAAAAAACCAGGAAGGAAACGGAAUAUGUGGCUAUGAAAGGCAAAAGAAAGGUUUACAAAGCAAAUGGGACACAUUUUUUUGAAAUAUUUAGGAAUAUCAGUAAAUUGCAUUAAAAAAAUGUAUGAAAAGAUUUUGUUCAAUAAAAAUGUUUAUAUUUAUCAAGGAUGUAUUAUUUGGUAUGGCCACAUAUCGUCAGUGAUGUAAUAAUACAUCCUAUCUGUUUUUUCAUGAGUUUUGUAAGAGAGACUAAAAACUUGUCUUAGAGUCACCUCCUGUUUUCAUAUGAUAUUUUUUGACUUGUUUUGUAGUAAAUUAAACUAUCUAUGAACUACAAAACAAGUCAAAACUUACAUAUGAACACAGGAGGUGACCUUAAAACAUGUUUUUCCAUCUCUCAUACAAAACUCAUGAAAAAACAGAUAGGAGGUAUUGUCACAUCAGCAAGGAUGUACAGUGAUAAGUGCCCUAAUAACUGGCAAAAUAUGGGCAACAUAUUUAGUUGUGAGAUAAAAAGAAAUGAAACUAGUCGAGCUGGGAAAUUUAUCGAAAUUAACCUUUAAAUUUACGUUAUAUUGAUCCCACCUUUACACAUAUCAGAGGAGUAUGUCAACUAAAACUGUCACUGUGACAGUGGUAGUUUCCAAACUCGUCUGAUACGUCUGAAGGUGGUACACAAUCAAUACAAUCUAAAUGUAUAAGUUAAUAUCGCUAAAUUUCCCAGCUCAACUAGUUUCAUGUCUUUUUAUCUCACUACUUAAUACAUCUUUUGUGCUUUUGCCGGUUAUUAGAGCGCUCAUCACUGUAUUUCUGGUAUAUCCAGGGAAUGUCUACAAAAUAUAUUUUGAAUGUCCAGAGAACAUUCGUGGACAUUCAUGGAAUGUUCCAAUAAGACAUUCAGGUAAUGUUUAAAAU